AGAUGCGAUCAUACCAGCACUAAUACUCCGGAUCCCAUCAGAACUUCGCAGUUAAGCAUGCUUGGGCGAGAGUAGUACUAGGAUGGGUGACCUCCCGGGAAGUCCUCGUGAUGCAUCCC
RNAcentral lists this ribosomal RNA (119 nucleotides) under Arabidopsis suecica. The record is from RNAcentral. RNAcentral also lists the same sequence under 1 other name. Lineage: Eukaryota; Viridiplantae; Streptophyta; Magnoliopsida; Brassicales; Brassicaceae.